UUUUUGUAGGCAAUAUCAAGGGAAGCAAAACAUUUUAACCUUGGAGAAGGUAGAUAUUACAUAGUUGUAAUAUGGAGUGCCAUAAUUUGGCAAUGUUUCUUUGUUGGUGCUGUUGGAGUUAUUUACCUCUCUUCUUCUUUAAUGUCUGGAGUUAUGAUUGCAGUUUUACUGCCAAUUACUGAAGUAUUAGGAGUAAUUUUCUUUGAUGAAAAAUUCUCAGCUGAAAAGGGACUUUCACUUUUUCUUUCUCUUUGGGGUUUUGUUUCUUAUUUUUAUGGAGAAUUUAAACAAGCAAAGAAAGUUGAGAAGAAGAAAAUUCAAGAAAAUGAGAUGACAACAACAACACAAAUAGAACAUGUUUGACUUACUAUUUAUGGUUGUUACCUAUCCUAUUGUAUCGUAUAGUUAAAUUCGUCGUUAUAUAAUGAUGAAAAGUGUCAUUUUAUGUAAUGACUAGCUUAAUGUUGUCGUGAUGCUACCUUGUUUUCUGAUUACUUGGUAGUAUUUAAUUAAAGUUAUAUUUGGCAUAUAUAUUAAUACAUAAAUGUGUUUUUUAUUUUAUUUCAUCUAACAUGUAUUUCUUUCAAUUUUAAGUGCAUAAGUAGACAUUUAAACUAGUAUAGAGUUGAACAAAUAGACAUGUGCGUCUUAAUUGAUGUCCUACGUGGAAAUAUGCGUCCUAAUCAACAUUCUAUGUGGCGCUUUACAUUAUUAUUAGGACGAGUGUGUUUACUUGUUCAACUUUAAACUCUCUAUGUCCAUUUUUAAUUGUCCAUUCUGAAAAAUUAAGAGAUAAUUUAUUAUUCUGUAAAUUAUUAUUAAAUAAUAUUUAUUUCUUAAUAAUUAGAUGACUUAUAAUUAAUAGAGGUGAUUUAACAAAAUUAUCUUUUUAUUUUUUACUUCUUAAGGAACGUGUCAAGUCAAAUAUGAACAAAUAAAAAUAAACAAAAAAACUAUUUAUUUAUAAUAUAGCUCAAUAUUUUAUUUUAUUUUUUUAUAAAAAAGCCAUCUAAUAAGUAGAGUCUAGAAAUAGCUAAUUAGAACGUGAUUGCUUCUUUCUAUAGUGAACAAUAUUUGUAAUAAUUAUUAUCAUUCUUAAUGAAUGUGAAGAAUUUAUAUAUUAAAAGACACUUAUUUUGAAAUGUUCAAAGCAGUAGUUGCUUCGUCCUUAAUCAGAGGUCUCAGAUUCAAAUUUUGAAUAUGGAGAAAAUCCUCUUGAGAGCACCAUCCUUGAAUGGGUUCUGCAGUGCGUGAUCCAGAUUUAAUCGGAGCUCUAAUGUAGACUACAAACACCGAGUGAGAAAAAAAAUAGUUAUUACGAAUAUCAUUGAAGUUGGGAUACAAGGCACUCAUUUUGAAAUGUUCAAAGCAGUUGUUGUUUCACCCUUAAUCAGAGGUCUCAGAUUCAAAUUUUGGGUAUGGAGAAAAUACUCUUGAGAGCACCAUCCUUAAAUGAGUUCUAUAGUGUGUGAUCUAGAUUUAAUCAGAACUCCAAUGUAGACUACCAACACCGAGCCAGAAAAAAAAAAAAUAGUUGUUGUGAGUAUCAUUGAAGUUGGGAUACAAAGUACAAUUGCACAAAAAUGGAGCAAUGGAUGAGAAAGGUCAAACACUGAAAGAUGGAUGAUAAAUGGUUGAUAUAUAAUCAAGGUAAAUAUAAUCAUAAGGAAGGAAAUAAAGAAACAAAUCUUGUUUUCACUUUCACUAGAUUUUUUAAAAAAAAUAACUCCACUUAAAUUAUAUUGACAUUUAAGGUGGUUUAGCAUGGUACAUUCAAACUACCAAGUAUUGUUUGCAUAAAUUAUGACCAAACACCAUUUCAUUUUCAAAAAAUUCAAAUAAAUUAAAAUAAUAUUUUAUAAUAAUAUUUAAUAACUCGUAUAUGACAUCUAAUUUAUAAUAUUAUGUAAUUGUAUAUUUAUUUUGAGAUAUUACUCGAAUUUUAUAUUCUAUUUUUUUUUUUCACAGACAAACUAGCUCAUAAAAUUCAUUUUAUAAUUCAGAAGAUUGACUGAAAUUUCUGACCCAAAUUAAUCAUCUAUUUUCUUGUAACGUGAAUUGAAUUUUUGUAGUCCCAAUCACCUUUUAUUAUAAUGGAGACGUAAUAGUUGAUAAGUUAGAAAAUUAAAUGUCUGUCUAGCUAGAAUGGACUUUUUUCUUCAUUUUAAAAAUAAUAAAUUUCAUGCAUACCUUAUAUGGACACUUUAAUUCUUUAAUAUGUAUUUACCUUUUAAGAAUAUAUUUAACGUGUAGCUAAUUUGUAAACAUUAUAAUUUUGACGUGUCAAGUUCAAAGUAGUCAAAUAAACGAAGAGAUAUUUCAUUGGCUCAACCUAUCACGGUGAUCCGAUCAAUUAAAAGAGGACAUUUAAUGUAAUCCACUUAUAUUUUUGAAUUAUUAUAAUGUCAUAAUUAAUUCUUAUCUCAAUAAUUAGUUACCCCACUUUACGUAAGGUCACAACCUAUAUUUAUAUUUGAGAGGUUGGAUACGAUAUCAUAAAUUUAAUAUUUUUCCGCCAAUUUAUAUAAUGAUAUUUAUUUACAUUUCAAAAAAUAAAUUAAUUUAUAACUAUACUAAUGUUUAGAAUUUAUUUUAGAUUACAAAAUUUGUAUAGUUGAAUUAAGUUGUGUUUUUAUAUGUACAUAUUCAGUCGAUUUCUUAUAAACAAAUGUGCAGGGUUUGGACUAGGGUAGAUAUGUGGAGAUCGCAGAUUAGGGUAAAAGAUAAAUAGGUAGUAGAGUGUUUUCUUGCUUCUCAAAGGGUUUAUGCUUAAUGGUGUUUGUAGGGUCUUGGUUUGCUUCCUACCACCAUCAAUUUUAUGAUAUUUCGAUUAUUGCAAUAUUUUGUUAUUGUUAAUGUUUCUGUAGUAGUUGCUAUAUUUUCUACUCUGUCAUUUUUCCUUUUCAUACUUACUUUGAUUGCUCUACUCGAGUCGAGGGUUUUUCGAAAACAGUCUAUUUCUUUACCUUCACAAAAUAGUGAUAAGGUCUGCAUAUGUUGUCUCGGUAUAACAUUUAAUUUCCUCUAUUUUCAACUCACAUGGAUAUAUCUACCACACCUUAAUUGCAAUCUCUAUACUCUCUUCAUUUAAUUCAUAUAACAUGUCACUUACAUUAUUUUUGUAGGCAAUAUCAAGGGAAGCAAAACAUUUUAACCUUGGAGAAGGUAGAUAUUACAUAGUUGUAAUAUGGAGUGCCAUAAUUUGGCAAUGUUUCUUUGUUGGUGCUGUUGGAGUUAUUUACCUCUCUUCUUCUUUAAUGUCUGGAGUUAUGAUUGCAGUUUUACUGCCAAUUACUGAAGUAUUAGGAGUAAUUUUCUUUGAUGAAAAAUUCUCAGCUGAAAAGGGACUUUCACUUUUUCUUUCUCUUUGGGGUUUUGUUUCUUAUUUUUAUGGAGAAUUUAAACAAGCAAAGAAAGUUGAGAAGAAGAAAAUUCAAGAAAAUGAGAUGACAACAACAACACAAAUAGAACAUGUUUGACUUACUAUUUAUGGUUGUUACCUAUCCUAUUGUAUCGUAUAGUUAAAUUCAUCGUUAUAUAAUGAUGAAAAGUGUCAUUUUAUGAAAUGACUAGCUUAAUGUUGUCGUGAUGUUACCUUGUUUUCUGAUUACUUGGUAGUAAAAUAUUUUUAAAAAGUAUGAAAAAUCUUAUUUAUUAAUUUACUAUAUUUAAAAACACCAAUGUAAGGAAAUAAUAUUUUACUUUUUAGAAAAUGAUGUAUACAUCCUUAUUUAGGAAAAAAAUGCUCUCUACUGUAACAUCUCGCACCUAGAACGACUAGAAAGAGUUAAUAUCUGAAAAUAUUGAUUUUUGGAAAGAUUAAGGAAAUCUGGAAAAUUAUGUCUAAAUUAAGGAAGUAAGUUUUUGCCAUUUUCAAACGGCCAUAAAUCCUAGAUAAGGAUGAGUUAGGAGCAGUUCUUGAUAUGGUUGGAAAGCCCUUGGAAAUAUCUUUCCAACGCCGCCGAGUUUGUGAAAUUCCGACAUUGUAUGAGUGAGAUAUGCCUUUCGGAAGUUGGGCUGUUGGAUUGAGGAAAGUCCCAAUCCGGAUUUAAGGAAGGCCAAAGUAGUCUUUACUCUAAGUUAUUUCCUAAUUUGAUUUUAGGGGUUUAUUGGGGUAAAAACAGAACCUAAAUCAGUUUUGGAAAAUUAAAGAACGCUUAGGGCUUGGAGAAGAGAGAAAGGAAGAAAGAACGGGAGAAAAAGGCAAGAAUUCGUCAAAAUCAUCCAAGCUUGCGAGUGGAAUUCGUCGGGGGUUGAUCCCUAUUAAGGUAUGUGAGAUCUUUUAGUGACGGGGUUAGUUCACCCACACACCAAUUUGUUUCAAUUCAGCGAUUUUGAGUUGUUUACAUGUUAAGAAGUGAAGUUCUUGAAGAACAUUGUUGAAUUCUUGUUGGUUGAUUGUUGAAUGCCCAAUGUUGAGUUGAUUCAUGUUUCCGGGCUGUUUUUCGAGUUAGAUUGGUUGUGUAUUGAGGGUGCAAUUGAUCCUAAGUGUUUGGGGAAAGAACUGCGGAAGAUUGGAGGGUUUAGAGAUGAAAAACGGAGAAGAAAAAUCGAGAACACCUGGUUAACGGGGCUGGGACUCCGCGCCAGCCAGCGCGCCCCACGCCUCUCAAAGCGCCAAGGACGCCAGUUCACCCCAUUCUUCCCCCAUCUUUUCGUACUAGUUUCUAAGCGAUGUACCUACGUUUUCUAGUUGAUUCCAACACUCUAAGGUACAUCUAACAUCAUGAAAUCAUCCAUAAACAUGAGAUCGUGAACCUUGAAUCCAUAAUCCAAUUCAAGGAAAGUUAAGAUCAAAGUCAAAGAAGUUAAGAGUCAAGUCUAGAAGUUAAGAAGCAAGUCAAAGCAAAGUUUCUUAAAGUUUUCAAGAGUCUUUAUUAAACGUUUAAAAUUCGUUUUAAGGUGUUGACACCCAAUUUUGGACCUCCACAUUAUAAAUUUAAUCAUCGAACUUCUUCAAUUUCAAACGAUAAAAAUAAUUAGUUUUAUAAAAUUUCAAAAAAAUAAAUAUAUAUAUAUAUAUAUAUAUAAUAUAGUUCGUAAGUUAUUUUUAAAUAGAUUUGCUACUUUUGUGAGUUUUUAAAUAAUAUAUAUCUUUUUAUAUAAUUACACAUAUAACUAGUACAUUCUACGAAUAUUCAAAAAUCGCCUCAAAAAGAUUUUAGUUCUACUCAAAUAUUUGGUUAAUUAGUUUAGUAGUUUAUAUUUUAAAUAAUUUAGUUUAUAAUCAAGUUGAUUGUUUUAUUUUGUUAAAAUUAAGAAGCUCAUUAAUUAAUUUGUACUAAUUCAUCUUAUUUAAAUUUUGGCCGAUUUCAUCAAUUAAAUUCAAAUCGGCUAAGUUUUUAACUUCAAUUGGUUCUAAUUAUAUUUCAUUACCCACCUUAAACCCAUUUGAGACCAAGUUUUGGGCUAUUUUCUCAAUAAUUUUCGGCCCAAUUCCAUUCCCACCCACCCAACUCUUACUUUCAAUUCCCAGCCCACCGAUUUGCAAACAAAACAAGCCCAACCCACUUUCUUUUCCCACAAUACCAUGCAUUACAUAACCCAACAUUACACACAUACAACAAAACCAAUUACCCCUGGCCCACCUAUAUUUCCAAUUCAAUACAACAAUAAUACCAACAUUACGUACAACAACAAUUCAAAAAAGAGAGACCCACCAGCUGUACACCAACAAUACAUAAUUCUUAGUCGGCUGUUAGUCACUGUUUAAUUCGUAAUACCUCGGCAUGAGGUAUAUGUUCUUAGUCGUUUUCAUCGGGUUAGUUGCAAUAUGGAGUUAAAGUUUUUUUUGUAGAUUUGUGCUCAAUAUCGUGGUCUCUCUGCUUCUCGAGUUUGAGUUAGCUGUGAUUUUCCGCUUUAUGUGUUUUGUUUGGCUAUAAUGAAUUUUUUUAAUUUUUUUCCGUAUCUUGCCGGCUUUAAAUUCCAGAAGCUCUUUUUCUUUUCUUUGUUUACGUUGUUUUCUUUAAAGCAAAUAAGGCAAAAGCUUGACAACUAAUUGAUAGAGAAGCUCUGUGUUGUGCUAUUGUCUAUUUAGCUCUGGGUUCUUUUGUGCUAGGCAUUGACGCCAUAUAUUUCCUCUAAUAUACGAUACUUUUUCCACCUUAACAUAUCCACGUUUGCCUUAUCUCGCUGUUCCAUUUCCUUUUGUCAAAACUUGUUCGUUUUAAAUUUCGAUUGAUAUUUCUUUAGAAAAUUUUGAACAUGUUGUCAUUUUUGUCUUCUUGUUGCCUACAAUCCGUCUAAUUAGCUUUUUUUUAGGACGUUAUGAGUUCAUUCAAAAAAAAAUUAAUUAAAAAUAAAAAAGAAAGGAAAAUUAUAUAUGAAGUGCACUAUAAUGACCAGAAUGUUUAGUUUGUUUUGAUUUGGUCUAAAUUUAUUUUUUCUUACUAUGCCAUCUCUCAAUUUGUCAAUUUUACAAGAUUUGUUACUAUUCCAAUAUUAAUUUCAUAUGGCUUUGUUUGUUCGUAUUGUGUGCAUAUUCUUGACAUUUCAUUUAAUUGCAUGUUAAUUUGAGGGUAUGUCAUGGAAAUAGGGAAUGGGCUGAGAUCGAAAUAGAAUUUGCUCAUAAUUUGCAUGUCAUACUUGCCCAUGGUGUCUGGUUUAUACUUUUAGUUUUGGUUUCUUGGCUUGAAUGACACAUGUGGUAUAGUUUGGUCCUUUUUAAAAAAUAAAAAAUAAAAAAUAAAAAUAAAAUAAAUAAAUAAAUAAUAAAAUUUGUAGUAUCUAUGAGUAUGAAUCAAAACAAUUUUGUCCAUUCUUUUCAUUGUAGGUAGUAACGAGUAAUUGGCCAAGUCAUUCGUUUCUAUUAGAUUAGUCCUUAAAUAUUUUAUUAUGAUUUCGUCAUGCCGAAUUAUCAGUCACUUUAAUGUUGUUCAUUUUAUUUUAUUUCGUCAUCCUAUGCUAAUAUGAUUUUAUUUGUCUUUGUAUGUAAAAUCUGUCAAAGUCCUCAUGGACUGUAUCUUCGCAUUUCCAAGGGGGCCAUGGAGGCCCCAAAAUUCUUGUACUGAGUCAGACCCCCCGAAAAUUCGGUGAACAAGGUUCGGAGCAGAUAUACAAGAUCGUAUAUGCUAGUAUACAUCUAGUGUAUACGAAAGAGGGAAAAUGGGCCUAAAGGCCCCAAAUUUUGAAAAAUUGUAAUUUGUUAUUUUGGGCCUAUUCCCUUGUCAUUAAAUUUUGCUAUUACUUUGUUAGUUUUAAGGGCAGGUUCGGCCCAAAACGAAAAUGGGCCCAAAUACUGGUCCAGGCGGAUAGAAACCAUAUUUGGGUCCAAUCCUCUUUCCCUCUUCACUUUACUGUGUUUGUUUUGCGUGUUAGUAUUUGUCGUUAAUCUUAGGGUCGAAAAGUUCAAAUCCCCGAAAGACGCUCAUUUCGUUUUAACAAUUUAACCAAAUCGAUCAUUUUUCAAAAGACUUAAAAGAAUAAAUUUCGAGAAGUAUCCCACUUAGAUCGUAGGUCAAUAUUUCCCUUUUUCCCUUUUAUAACCGCCUCAACUAUAAAAUAGUUCAAUCGUUCUAUCCAAAUUGAGUUAAAGUAUUUUUAGCCAAAAAAUUAAUUGUCGGAUAACCACAUUAGUGGAUAUUCUAGGUGCUUUUAAAACCUUCCUAGAAUGUUAAUAAGAACCUCGAACCCCUUUAUAAGUUUUCACUAGAUUCCUGUUUUAGUCUUGUGGAAAUGAAUAGUUUUCUUAAUUUCACCUUAAAAAUUAAGUGGCGACUCUUAAAACCAGUCUAAAUAUAUAUUUUAAAUAAAACAUAAGGCUCAAGUUUUCAGUAAAGUAAAGAGUAAAGAGUUGAGUUCAUUUCUCAAAAGUUAUUAGGGAACUAAGUAUUCCCAAAGAAGUUUAUAAAUGUUUUCACAUUUGAGCAAGAAAGGAACUAUGUUUUCCAAAAGAGCCUUUGGGCUAGUUUUCAGUAAAGGGAACAUCGAUUCCAAGAGAGCCUUUGGGCUAAACUUUGAGCAAUUAUAUCAAACUAAAGAAAGAGGUGUUUAAAACACAUAUGAGCUAAAGUAUAUUUUGGGAGUAGUAUUGAGCACCGAAUUGGAGACGCGAGUUCAUAUUAACUCAACUCUCCAUAAGAACCAUGUAGCCAACAUGGGAUUUAACGGGUUAUACUUUUUAGAUGAUCACGUAAGUUAAGCUAGUGGAUCCACUAAGUUAAGUAAGGUCCUAUGUCAUGGCGAGGUAUAGGAUGGUCCUUGUGCAACGUAAGGUAAAACGUUGUACCAUCACUAGGGCUCAUAGUGAUGGUUGUCAGUUAAAGAAUCUCCCACAAAAGUUAUAUUACUUUUAUAUAUAAGUAAAGUUGAGUUUGUUAUUGCUUUAUCUUUUAACAAACUAAGUUGUUUACACUGUUUUACAAGCUUUAUAUAUAUAUUGCAUGUGUCUUAUUGCUUUAUAUUGAGUUUAGUUAUUCAUGAGUUGUACAAAGCCAAGGUAAGUGUUCCUUCUUACUCCUUUCAAACUUAAGUUGUUGUUUAGCAUUCCAACUCGCAUACUCGUACAUUCAAUGUACUGAUGCCAGUUGGCCUGCAUCUUAUUAUGAUGCAGACGCAAGUAACCAGGAUCAGCAUCCAGUGCGUCAUUGAUCUAGUCGAGCACUCCAGAGUCAGUGGUGAGCCUCCUUGCAUUCCGAAGGACUCUUUUAUUCGCUUUCCUAGUUUUCUUUAUUAGGAUGUUGUGGGGUCUGUCCCAACAUCCAUCUCAGUAUUAUAGAGGCUUCAUAUACACUUAGAUAGUAGUUGAGUCUCUCAUCUAUGUAUUUGCAGAUACUUUGUUUUGAGACAGAAGUUGCCAAUUUGGCUAAGAGGUUAUCAUUUAAACAAUUACAUGAGUUUAUUUUGUUGAGUUAAGUCUUCCGCUGAGUUAAGUAAGCCAGGUCAAGGGUUCGCUUGGGGCCAGCAAUGGUCUUCGAGUGCCAGUCUCGCCCAGGGUGUAGGCUCGGGGCGUGAUUAUACAUUCUGGAUCUUGGCAUGCGGAGGUAAAAGUUUAUGCAUACCGAAUAUUUAUAUCAAGAUAAUAUAACUUACUUAUUUAUUAUAAAGUUAAGGGCGUGUUUGGAUGGGCUUAUAAAAAGUACUAUUUGUUGACACCCAACUUUGACCUUCCACGAUAGAAAUUAAUUUUUGAGCUUCUUAAAAUUCCAAACGAUCUGAAAUAAGUGACUUUAUAAAAUGCAAAAUAUUUUUCAAGUUAUUUUAAAUAGUUUUGUCACUUUUUAUAAUUUUUAGAUAAUAUAUAUGUUUUACAUAAUUAUAUAUAUAAACUAGUAUAUUUUAUAAAUAUUUGAGAAUCGUCUCAAAAAGAUUUUGUUUUAAUUAAAUAUUUGGUUAGUUAUUUUAAUUAUAUAAUAGUUUAUAUCUUAAAUUAAUUAGUUUAUAAUUAUGUUAAUUAUUUUGUUUCGUCAAAAUAAAGAAGCUUAUUAAUUAAUUUGUAUUGCACUUUUAGUCAUUUCUUGCCUUACCUUAAACCCAUUAAGAGACCAACUUUGGGCCAUUUUCUAGUGACCUAAUUCAGCAAAUUUGGGCCUAACCCCUAGUUAAACAAUUACAGCAGCCCACUAGAAACCCAUUUUGACAUUUACCUUCCAAUUCCCUACAGCCCACUCCAGUACACAAUUUCAAUUCAAAGACCAAACAAUACUUAGCAACACAUACAGCAACAACACACCGAUACAGACCCCACCACUGCACUUCGUUCUUCUUCCCAGCCAAAAUCAGAAACGAAACCCAGAAAAAAACCAAAAUCGUGAGUCCAGCAGCAAAUCGAAGCCCAAAAUCGCAAAAUCCAGCAAGGAAUUCACGUCCAGCAGCCUAGGAAAUCGACCCACGCGCCUCAUCUUCUUCCUCACGUCCCUUUCGAUUCGUAUUAACAUCGCAGCAGGCACGCGCUCUGUCCCCCUUUCCCCUUUCGGAAUGAGUCAAAACCUCAAGGAAAAGGUGUCUCUCCUUAAUGGUGAAACUUUUUUCGAAUUUUGAAUUAGAAAUGGGCCUCUUUUCUGCCGAUUUUUCGUCGGUUUCCCUCCAUUUCCGAACCCUUUUUUUCCCAUAUAUGUUAGCCUUUGAUUCACUGUUUGGGGGGCGAGGAUGAGAAACGAAAAUAAAAUAUACACUAAAGUUAUAGUUACACUGCUACACACUAGUAUUCGGAUCAGUUUCUUAAAUCACAUAGAGGAGAAAAUACAAGUUCUGAUUAUUCUCGUCCGCUUCUGCUUUGAUUUUGCUGAAAUUCUUGGAGUCGUGUCUUGGUGGAAUCCUCCUCGUAUCUAGCUCGUCGUCUCGAUUCGCUGCCUGAAAAGAGGUGAAUUUUUUUUUCUCUUAAAUUCAGUUUAUUUUGUUCUUUGCUGCUCCAUAUCUUUAUUUAAGUGUCCUUAAUGGUGUUUUAGUUUUCACAUCUUAAUCAGCUUAAUGAUUAUCUCUGUGCUAAUUUCGUAAUUUGUUCUUGUUAGAUUUUUGGAGUUGUCUAGUGAGCAAAUGUUAUCGUCGCUUAUCUCAUCCUAGUUUGGUCAGUGCUUUGCUAUGAACAUAAGGGAAGCUAGUUUAAGCUUGAUUUAGUUCCAUGAAAUUGAUUAAAAUCUCGUCUUCAUUUAAUGUCGUAACCUUUGUUUUCAAAUCUAUCUUGUUAACGCUUUAGUUUAGAUUUAGUCUCAUUAUGAACUACUAUCCUCUUCACUUCGUAGUUUGUUGUAUUAUUUGAGAUUGUUUUGCCUUUUUUUUUUCCUUCUUUGAUUUAAGUUAACUUGGCCGAUCUUUUAACUAUCUUGGGAGUUCAAAAAUGAGGCAGAAUCACAAAGUUAAUCAAUGUGUCGGUUCUUUGUUUAAGAUUAUCUCGAAUUAUUACCCCAUGGAUUUUAUUUUAUUUUUAUUUUCCUUAGUCCAAGCAUACCAUCCAUGUUGUAAGCGUAUUAAGUGUUCUGUUCAUUAUGUUACCAUGUAGUUAGUUUAAAUUUGAUGAUUCAUAGUGUGAUUACCAUCCAUGUUGUAAGUGUAUAAGUGUUAUGUUCAUUAUGGUGUUUAUCCCUUUCACCCCGAGUAGUGCUGCCUCAUUUUCUUUUGUUUAUUUAAAUGUUCAAAUUGGUCAGUUCGUCAUAUGUUUGCCAUUUUCUUCAAUAAGUCUAAAAGAAUUGGUUUUUGCUUUGGGGAAUGUAUUAAAUAGUGUCUUUACUCAUUUUAAUGGUGUGGCCUGUGGUUUGGGUGCUUGAUUCUCUCCUUGUCUAAUUCGAUUGAAAAUUAUGCUUAGAUGCAUAUUUCUUUAGUCAUUUGCUAAUUAUGUCUCCUUUGUUUCCGCAUGAACUAUCGAAUGAGUCUAUCGGACUCCGGCUGCAUUUCUUCUCUUCGAGCCAAGAAGGCUCGAACCGUGUCCUUUUCGAGUCAGCCAGCUAUAGAAAUUGACAAACAAAUCCCGGAGCCGAAAGAAUAUGCAACAGGUUGGAGAAUCAAAAUUUGGGCCAAAGGCCCACUCUUUAUUUCAAAAUUGUAAUUUGUUAUUUUGGGCCUAAGCCCACUUAUUUGCUAUUACUUGUUAGUUUUUUUUUAGGACAGGUGGAGGAAUUGGGCCUAAGGCCCAAAAGAAAGAUAUCUAUUUUAUGUUAGACUAGAACAGGUACCAAGUGAUUUAAAUGGGCCGAAAGCCCAAAAUGAAAAUAGGCCCAAGUACUGGUCCAGGCGUACACAAAAAACCAUACUUGGGCCCAAAUCUCUUCCCCUCUUUGCUUUAUCGUGUUUGUGUGCUUGUUAAAUAUUUGCCGCUAAUCUCAAGGUCGAAAAAUUCAAAUCCCCGAAAGACGUCCAUUUUGAUUUAACAGUUUAACUAAACCAGUUAGUUCUUAACAAGACUUAAAGAAAUAAUUUCGCAAGAUAGUUCCCUUAGAUAAUAUUUAAAUAUCUCCCCUUUAAAAUAGUUCAAAUUUGCAAUUUAAGAUAAGUUAAUCUAUUUUAGCCAAAUAAUUAAUCGUCGGAUAACCGCAUUAGCGGGUGUUCUAGGUGCUUUCAAACCCUUCCUAGAACACUAAUAUGAACCCUCGAACCUCCUUGUAUUUUCAAUUGAUUCCCUGUUUUAAUCUAUUGAAAGAAUAGUUUUCUUGAUUUUUCUUAAAAAUUAAGUGGCGACUCUAAAAAUCAUUCGAAAUUCAUUUUUAAAAUAAAACACUAUUUUCAUCCAUAUUUACUUGUUAAAUAUUUUUUAAUUUGAUUUCCCUUCUUACUUGUCAUUUUUGAAAAAUCAAGAAAGGACAAAUUAUUUUUUGUUAUUAUACCUUCAAUUUAUUAACAUUGAGUUAAUAUUUUUGAAAAAUGAACUGAGUAAAUAUAUUUGGGAUCCUAUUAAUUAAUAAAAAUAAAAUGGUAAACUUUCUAUAUCAAUUAAUAUUUUUUUAAUAAGUGUGCAAAGUAAAAAAUUGACAAGUAAAAAGGGACGAAGUGAGUAACUUAUGUAGAUGGUACCCUACUUUUGACUUAUUUUAAAACUUUUUGGCCUAAAAGUAGGUGCUUAAAAACAUUUCAUAACCUUUUCAAACACCUCCAAAAUUAAAAAAAAACUACUUAAAAAUCAAAAACACCUAAAAAUAAGUUAAUACAAACGUGCACUAAGUUAGUGACAUUAAAUAAGAAAGGGAAAAUUACACGGAUAAGAAAACAUUACUAGUUGAUUAGCUAACGUAGCUCGCUAUAGUUUGAAUUAAUUACAGCUCACAACUUAAAUUUAGCUGUAAUUACGUCGCCUCUCUCCUCUUUUACACAUAUACAUAGACAAUUGUAUGACAGAUAUACAAAUACAAUUAGCCUCUCUCCACUCUCUGCCUUCUCUCGCUCGCCUCUCUCUUCCCACUCCCAAUAUCGCUCUACUCUCUCCUCCCGCUCCCAAUCUAAUCUCGCUCGUCAGAUAUACAAAUGCAUAUGUAUAUCAGUUACAUAUAUGCUUGCCUCUCUCCUCCCUCUCCUAAUAGAAAUUGUCUCUCUCCUCCCUCUCUCAAUCUCGCUCACCAGAUAUACAAAUACAUAUGUAUACCAGUUACAUAUAUACAAUUAUUUGACAAAUAUACAUAUACAAUUCGACAGAUAUACCAUAUACAUUCGCAUCUCUCCUCCCUCUCCCAAUCUCGCUCGCCUCUCUCCUCCCUCUAACAUGUAUUUACGAAUCGUAAUUAGCAAACUAUAGCUAUGGAGCAUAAUUAAGUUCCUCAAUAUGAAAUUGAGUCCAAUAAAAUGGUCUAAAGAUAAAUUAAAGAAGAGCUAAGGUGGUCUAAAUUCAUGGGCUGGCCCAGUCAGCUUAGGCCCAUUAAUUCCAAACAUCCCCCUCAAGCUGGAAGCCCUAAAUGGCUCCACGCAUAAUAACAUAGUUUUUAUCUGAGUUAUCCUAUAUAAUAACACGGUCGUUGAUGCCGUUCCGAGCCCAAAUCCAGCUUGGAAAGUAACAUUGUGUUGCUCUAUGUCAAAGAAUUUAGUAAGAACAUCAACCAAGUGUAAUGUAGUAGGAAUUACAUAUUGCAAGGAAAUCAGUCCCUCAUUUAACUUUCUCGCUCAAAGUUAUAGUCAAUCUCAAUGUGUUUAAUGCGUUCGUGGAAAAUAGGAUUAUUGACGAAUAAAAAAAGUUUCAAAAAAUAAUAAUUAACUUACUUUUCACUUUUUGAAGUUGUACUUGAAAUUAUGUUCAAAUAUGAAUAUUAUUUCGAAUAUUCUUUUCAUGAUGUAUAAUAAAACACUACUUCAUCUUCUACUUCAACUACAUAAAUUUCAAAUAAAAUGAAAAAUAUUUGAAGUCUACGACCAAACACCUAUUAAGAAAUAUGAGAGAGUUGCAUUACAUCCUCAGAAUGUCAUGCAUUUAGAAGCAUUGAAACUAAGAGUCCGUUUGGAUUGACUUAAAAAUUGAUCAAACUUACUUUUAAGUCAUUUUUAGUGGUUGAAAGUGUUUGACAAGAUUAAAAAUAACUUAAAAGAACACAAGUUAAUCUAUCCCCUUCUGCGAACCAAUUUUGGAAGUGUUUGGCAAGGAACAUAAUACUCUUCUUCGUGGAACUUCAUUGCCUCAUUGGACUCCCUCCGUCCAAUUGUCCCACCAAAAAAACUACUCCAUCUGUCCUCGUCUCAAUUUAUGUGACAUCUUUCGGACUUCUAGAUUCAAACAAGUAUUUUUUUUAUUGUAGUUUUUUUUUUAUAUCUUUUAAAUAUUUUGAGUCGUGAAGUAUUGUAACUUAUAGAACUUUUAUGUAGUAUUCAAUAUGUAAAUUUUAUUUCAAAAAAAUUAAAGAUGUCAUGCGUGAAUUCAUGAUCAAAAGUUAAACCGUUUGACGCCCGAAAUUUGAAUCGUAACACAUAAAUUGAAAAAAGGAAGUACUAUUUUCUAUUAAUAUGCUAUAUCAUGUGAUCUUCUACAAUCUUUCUAGCUUGAAGCAUGUUUUUUCAGAGGUGAGAAUUACUAGAAGUCCAUACAUAAUUAGCAGUAGCUAGGGUGAGCCCAAGCUCACACAAUAUUAUUUAUGUUUAAAUAAUAUAAACAGUAAAAACGAUUGGGAUAAAUCUCCACCACCUUUUAAUAUACAAAGGUGGUUCUAAUGUCUUCCAUUCUCUUUAUGCUAAUCUCACUUUCUUCACAUCAGUAGGGUAGCAAAUAAUUUGCAAGAAGAUCUAAUAGUGUGUGGUAUUUUUUAUUUUAAUUAUCAUGACCAUUAAAACCACCAAGAGUAGUUGGCAAAUUAAAGUGCUUCUCUAAAAGUUUAAAGACACUUUUGGGAGAGAGAGUGGCACUUAAGGAAAUGUAUGGAACACACGUUAGAUAUUUUAUUUGUUCGUGUAAUAUACCAUAAAUUCAAAAUAUUACAAUUGAAAUAAAAUGAACGAAAAAUGAAUUAAAAAGUAUUCAGGCUGAGAUGCGGAUAUCUCACUCUCUUUAAGUAGAUUCAAGUCACUACGACAUAAUAUACACCGAUCCAACAAUAAUAUUCUCGACUUGUCCCCUCCAGGAUACAACAAUCCACCAAAAUCGUACAACUUCUUAUAUAGUGAAUUUAUGAAAAAAUACUAUAUGGUUUGUUUGGAAGCAAAAAAAAUAAUAUAUAAUUAAAAUACCGAUCCAGGAUCGGCAUUUUUUAUGAACAUAUAAAUUUAAGUAGUAUAAAUAAAAAAACAACAUAAUUUUUAAUCAAUAAACAUCACUGACUGCCUAGUGGUAAAAAUUAUCUACCACUAAUAAUUUUAGAUCAAUUUUUUUAGUAGUGUCUAUGACAAAUCAUAAUUAAUGAGCACUCUUUAUCAAUUGGUGGUACAUAUAUUAAUAUUGUGCGCUGUUCUUACUUGAUCUUUUACAUUACAAGGUUCUUGUUAUGACACCAAAGCUUAAAAUUAUUGAUAUAUAGUGACCAUUUCAAUGAGAAAAUAAAGUUGACUAAAACCAUAUUUGUCCCAUCCUUGUUAUUUUCAAUCAACUUUUCUCUUCACAAGUUGAGUAUGGUUUAAAGAGCAAGAGAAGAUAGAGUGAUAAUUUAUUAUGACUUGUUAAAUUAUAUUGUUAAUAUAAAAAAUAUAUAUAUUAUCUUUGUAUAUAUAUAACUUAAAUCUUUUUCUUAUUGUUAUUAUCUUCCAUUUUGAAGCAAUAAAAGUUAUUAAUAUUAUUGUAUUUAAUCUGUUUAUUCCACCUUAUGUCUCACAAGCAAUUAAUUAAUUCAAUCAUAAAAAAGCAAGAAAAUGAUGGCUAACGAACUCUUAUAGAGCUCACCAAACCUAUUGAAUGUUGUGAUUAUUUCAUCUAAAUGAUUAAAGAGAGUAUUUUAUUUAUUUAAUUAAUUAAUUAUGUUUUUACUAAGCUUCUCACAUGAGCUUAUUUAACAUUUCAUUUUGACCCAUUUCAGUUCAAUUCCAUCCAACUAUUUGGACAUUUGUUAAUUCCUACGCAAAUUCCUGCAUUUAGGAUCAGAGCUCCAAAAAAGAAAAAAAUAUUCAAUCAGAUGACACUUUAAAUCUCUAUAAAUUUGUAGGCCUUAUUUGUUUAUACUUAAUGGGGUAUUGACGUGAGAGAUUCAGAUCUUAGGCCCUUGGUUGAAUGUAUUUGUUUCCAUUAAGAUUUAAGCACAUAAUUGAUUUGAAUAGAGCUUAACCAUUUCAGUUCAACUCCAUCCGACUAUUUGGACAUUCAUUAAUCCCUAUGCAAAUUCCUGCUUUCAGGAUCCUGCAAAUUCCAUCACUAUUACUAUCAAGCGCCACAAUCGAGAUAGUCAUUACAACACCAACCAUCUCCAUCAUUAUUACUAGCCAUUUAGACCAACCAUUACUAUCAUGAGUCACUACAACACCAAACCAGGGGCGACUCUAAUAUAUCGGUGGCCUUAAGCCAAAUUCGAAUGGAGGCCUUAAAUUCAAAUAUAUAUUUUUUAUGAAGUUUAUUAUAGCUAAUUAUUUAAUUUUUCUUGAGACAUAAUAUUCAUAAUUUGUCGAACUUCUAUUACUUCUUUGCUCUUUUAUGAAAAGAUUUUAUUUUCUAUAAGCAAUACUCUAUAUUUUAAAAAAAAUAAAAAUACUUAUAACUUAUUUUAUUUUUUUUAAAAUGAGGCCCCUCAAAUUUUGGGGCCUAAGGCAAUUGCUUUUUUUUCAAAGUNNNNNNNNNNNNNNNNNNNNNNNNNNNNNNNNNNNNNNNNNNNNNNNNNNNNNNNNNNNNNNNNNNNNNNNNNNNNNNNNNNNNNNNNNNNNNNNNNNNNNNNNNNNNNNNNNNNNNNNNNNNNNNNNNNNNNNNNNNNNNNNNNNNNNNNNNNNNNNNNNNNNNNNNNNNNNNNNNNNNNNNNNNNNNNNNNNNNNNNNNNNNNNNNNNNNNNNNNNNNNNNNNNNNNNNNNNNNNNNNNNNNNNNNNNNNNNNNNNNNNNNNNNNNNNNNNNNNNNNNNNNNNNNNNNNNNNNNNNNNNNNNNNNNNNNNNNNNNNNNNNNNNNNNNNNNNNNNNNNNNNNNNNNNNNNNNNNNNNNNNNNNNNNNNNNNNNNNNNNNNNNNNNNNNNNNNNNNNNNNNNNNNNNNNNNNNNNNNNNNNNNNNNNNNNNNNNNNNNNNNNNNNNNNNNNNNNNNNNNNNNNNNNNNNNNNNNNNNNNNNNNNNNNNNNNNNNNNNNNNNNNNNNNNNNNNNNNNNNNNNNNNNNNNNNNNNNNNNNNNNNNNNNNNNNNNNNNNNNNNNNNNNNNNNNNNNNNNNNNNNNNNNNNNNNNNNNNNNNNNNNNNNNNNNNNNNNNNNNNNNNNNNNNNNNNNNNNNNNNNNNNNNNNNNNNNNNNNNNNNNNNNNNNNNNNNNNNNNNNNNNNNNNNNNNNNNNNNNNNNNNNNNNNNNNNNNNNNNNNNNNNNNNNNNNNNNNNNNNNNNNNNNNNNNNNNNNNNNNNNNNNNNNNNNNNNNUAUAUGUACAUAUUCAGUCGAUUUCUUAUAAACAAAUGUGUAGGGUUAGGGUUUGGACUAGGGUAGAUAGGUGAAGAUCGCGGAUUAGGGUAAAAGAUUAAUGGAUAGUGGAGUGUUCUCUUACUUCUCAAAGGGUUUAAGCUUAAAUAGUGUUGGUUGUAUGAAGUAAUAGCUUUAUUUUUGUAGUGUCUUGGUUUGACUUUCUACCACCAUCAAUUUUAUGAUAUUUCAAUUAUUGCAAUAUUUUGUUAUUGUUAAUGUUUAUGUAGUAGUUGCUAUAUUUUCUACUCCGUCAUUUUUCCUUUUCAUACUUACUCUGAUUGCUCUACUUGAAUCAAGGGCUUUUUGAAAUUAGUCUAUUUCUUUACCUUCAUAAGAUAGUGAUAAGGUCUACGUGCGUUGUCUCGGUAUAGCAUUUAAUUUCCUCUAUUUUCAACUCACAUGGAUAUAUCUACCACACCUUAAUUGCAAUCUCUAUACUCUCUUCAUUUAAUUCAUAUAACAUGCCACUUAUUAUUUUUGUAGGCAAUAUCAAGGGAAGCAAAACAUUUUAACCUUGGAGAAGGUAGAUAUUACAUAGUUGUAAUAUGGAGUGCCAUAAUUUGGCAAUGUUUCUUUGUUGGUGCUGUUGGAGUUAUUUACCUCUCUUCUUCUUUAAUGUCUGGAGUUAUGAUUGCAGUUUUACUGCCAAUUACUGAAGUAUUAGGAGUAAUUUUCUUUGAUGAAAAAUUCUCAGCUGAAAAGGGACUUUCAUUUUUUCUUUCUCUUUGGGGUUUUGUUUCUUAUUUUUAUGGAGAAUUUAAACAAGCAAAGAAAGUUGAGAAGAAGAAAAUUCAAGAAAAUGAGAUGACAACAACAACACAAAUAGAACAUGUUUGACUUACUAUUUAUGGUUGUUACCUAUCCUAUUGUAUCGUAUGAUUAAAUUCGUCGUUAUAUAAUGAUGAAAAGUGUCAUUUUAUGUAAUGACUAGCUUAAUGUUGUCGUGAUGCUACCUUGUUUUCUGAUUACUUGGUAGUAUUUAAUUAUAAGUUAUAUUUGGCAUAUAUAAUACAUUAAUGUGUUUUUUAUUUGAUUUCAUCUAACAUGUAUGUCUUUCAAUUUUAAGUGCAUAAGUAGACAUUUAAAGUAGUAUAGAGUUGAACAAAUAUACAUGUGCGUCUUAUUUGAUGUCCUACAUGGAAAUAUGCGUCCUAAGCAACAUUCUAUGUGGCGCUUUACAUUAUUAAUAGGACGAGCGUGUUUACUUGUUCAACUUCAUACAAGUUUAAAUGUCUAUACUUAUGCACACCCAAAAUUGGAGAGCAUAGAUAUCAGAUGAACCAAGUUAAAGAACAUAUUUAUUUAAUAUUAUAAGUUUAUUUUUCGGAUUGCUGAUUUACAACAUUAUAAAAUAACGAAAGACCAUGUAAUCUAUUCAAACAUUGCAUUCAUAAAAACAAAUAAAACACUAGUAUAGUACUAUCGAUAUGAAAAGAUAUGUAACAACGAAUAUUCAAACAAAAAUCAUGUACGUACAUAGUUUUUUUUUUUUUUUUUUGUUUCUCACUCGGUGUCUGAUAUCCCACAUUGGAGCACGACUGAAUUCAAAUUCGCGCCUAAAAAUCUCACAUGAGAUUUAACGGGUCAUACUUUUUAGAUGAUCACGUAAGUUAAGCUAUUGGAUCCACUAAGUUAAGUAAGGUCCUAUGUCACGGCAAGGUAUAGGAUGGUCCUUGUGCACCGUGAGGUAAAACGUUGUACCAUCACUAGGGCUCAUAGUGGUGGUUGUUAGUUAAAGAAUCUCCCACAAAAGUUAUAUUACUUUUAUAUAUAAGUAAAGUUGAGUUUGUUAUUGCUUUAUCUUUAACAAACUAAGUUGUUUACACUGUUUUACAAGCUUUAUAUAUAUAUUGCAUGUGUCUUAUUGCUUUAUAUUGAGUUCAGUUAUUCAUGAGUUGUACAGAGCCAAGGUAAGUGUUCCUUCUUACUCCUUUCAAACUUAAGGUGUUGUUCAGCAUUCCAACUCGCAUACUUGUACAUUCAAUGUACUGAUGCCAGUUGGCGUGCAUCUUAUUAUGAUGCAGAUGCAAGUAACCAGGAUCAGUAUCCAGCGUGCCGUUGAUCUAGUCGAGCACUCCAGAGUCAGUGGUGAGCCUCAUUGCAUUCUGGAGGACUCUUUUAUUAGCUUUCCUAAUUUUCUUUAAUAGGAUGUUGUGGGGUCUGUCCCAACAUCCAUCUCAGUAUUAAGUUGAGUCUCUCAUCUAUGUAUUUGCAGAUACUUUGUUUUGAGACAGAAGUUGCCAAUUUGGCUAAGGGGUUAUCAUUUAAACUAUUACAUGAGUUUAUUUUGUUGAGUUAAGUCUUCUGCUGAGUUAAGUAAGCCAGGCCAAGGGUUCGCUUGGGGCCAGCAAUGGUCUUUAUGUGCCAGUCUAGCCCAGGGUGUAGGCUCGGGGCGUGACAUCUACAUUCUGGAUCUUGGCAUGCUGAGGUAAAAGCUUAUGCAUACCAAAUAUUUAUAUCAAACUAAUAUAACUUACUUAUUUAUUAUAAAUUUAAGGGCGUGUUUGGAUGGGCUUAUAAAAAGUACUAUUUUCAUCCAUAUUUACUUGUUAAAUAUUUUUUAAUUUGAUGUCCCUUCUUACUUGUCAUUUUUGAAAAAUCAAGGAAGGACAAAUUAUUUUUUGUUAUUAUACCUUCAAUUUUUUAACAUUGAGUUAAUAUUUUUGAAAAAUGAACUGAGUAAAUAUAUUUGGGAUCCUAUUAAUUAAUAAAAAUAAAAUGGUAAACUCACUAUAUCAAUUAAUAUUUUCUUAAUAAGUGUGCAAAGUAAAAAUUUGACAAGUAAAAAGGGACGAAGUGAGUAACUUAUGUAGAUGGUACCCUACUUUUGACUUAUUUUAAAACUUUUUUGGCCUAAAAGUAGGUGCUUAAAAACAUUUUCUAACAUUUUCAAACACCUCCAAAAUUUAAAAAAACUACUUAAAAAUCAAAAACACCUAAAAAUAAGUUAAUACAAACGUGCAUUAAGUUAGUGACAUUAAAUAUGAAAGGGAAAAUUACACGGAUAAGAAAACAUAUACUAGUUGAUUAGCUAAUGUAGCUCGCUAUAGUUUGAAUUAAUUACGGCUCACAAGUUAAAUUUAGCUGUAAUUACGUGGCCUCUCUCCUCUUUUAUACAUAUACAUAUACAAUUGUAUGACAGAUAUACAGAUACAAUUAGCCUCUCUCCACUCUCUGCCUUCUCUCGCUUGCCUCUCUCCUCCCGCUCCCAAUCUAAUCUCGCUCGUCAGAUAUACAAGUGCAUAUGUAUAUCAGUUACAUAUAUACAAUUAUCUGACAAAUAUACAUAUACAACUCGCCUCUCUCCACUCUCUGCUCUCUCUCGCUUGCCUCUCUCCUCCCUCUCCUAAUAGCAUUUGUCUCUCUCCUCCCUCUCCCAAUCUCGCUCGCCAGAUAUACAAAUACAUAUGUAUACCAGUUAUAUAUAUACAAUUAUUUGACAAAUAUACAUAUACAAUUCGACAGAUAUACAUAUAUAUUCGCCUCUCUCGCUCGCAUCUCUCCUCCCUCUCCCAAUCUCGCUCGCCUCUCUCCUCCCUCUCCCAAUCUCUCUCGCCUCUCUCCUCCCUCUAACAUGUAUUUAAGAAUCGUAAUUAGCAAACUAUAGCUAUGGAGCAUAAUUAAGUUAUUUUUGAGUGAAUAUAUGCGAAAAUUCCUCAAUAAGAAAUUGAGUCCAAUAAAAUGGUCUGAAAAUAAAUUAAAGAAGAGCUAAGGUGGUCUAAAUUCAUGGGCUGGCCCAGUCAGCUUAGGCCCAUUAAUUCCGAACAUCCCCCUCAAGCUGGAAGCCCUAAAAGGUUCCACGCAUAAUAACAUAGUUUUUAUCUGAGCUAUCCUAUAUAAUAACACGAUCGUUGAUGCCGUUCCGAGCCCAAAUCUAGCUUGGAAAGUAACAUUGUGUUGCUCUAUGUCAAAGAAUUUAGUAGGAACAUCAACCAAGUGUAAUGUAGUAGGAAUUACAUAUUGCAAGGAAAUCAGUCCCUCAUUUAACUUUCUCGCUCAAAGUUAUAGUCAAUCUCAAUGUGUUUAAUGCGUUCGUGGAAAAUAGAAUUAUUGACGAAUAAAAAAAGUUUCAAAAAAAAAUAAUUAACUUACUUUUCACUUUUGAAGUUGUACUUGAAUAUGUUCAAAUAUGAAUAUUAUUUCGAAUAUUCUUUUCAUGAUGUAUAAUAAAAUACUACUUCAUCUUCUACUUCAACCACAUAAAUUUCAAAUAAAAUGAAAAAUAUUUGAAGUCUACAACCAAACACCUAUUAAGAAAUAUGAGAGAGUUGCAUUACAUCCUCAGAAUGUCAUGCAUUUAGAGGCAUUGAAACUAAGAGUCUGUUUGGAUUGACUUAAAAAUUGAUCAAAUUUACUUUUAAGUCAUUUUUAGUGGUUGGAAGUGUUUGACAAGAUUAAAAAUAACUUAAAAGAACACGAGUUAAUCUAUCCCCUUCUGCGAACCAAUUUUGGAAGUGUUUGGCAAGGAACAUAAUACUCUUCUUCGUGGAACUUCAUUGCCUCAUUGGACUCCCUCCGUCCAAUUGUCCCACCAAAAAAACUACUCCAUCUGUCUUCGUCUCAAUUUAUGUGACAUCUUUCGGACUUCUAGAUUCAAACAAGUAUUUUUUUUACAGUAGUUUUUUUUUUAUAAAUAUUUUGAAUCGUCAAGUAUUGUAACUUAUAGAACUUUUAUGUAGUAUCAAAUAUGUAAAUUUUAUUUCAAAAAAAUUAAAGAUGUCAUGCGUGAAUUCAUGAUCAAAAGUUAAACCGUUUGACGCCCGAAAUUUGAAUCGUAACACAUAAAUUGAAAAAAGGAAGUACUAUUUUCUAUUAAUAUGCUAUAUCAUGUGAUCUUCUACAAUCUUUCUAGCUUGAAGCAUGUUUUUUCAGAGGUGAGAAUUACUAGAAGUCCAUACAUAAUUAGCAGUAGCUAGGGUGAGCCCAAGCUCACACAAUAUUAUUUGUGUUUAAAUAAUAUAAACAGUAAAAAAGAUUGGGAUAAAUCUCCACCACAUUUUAAUAUACAAAGGUGGUUCUAAUGUCUUCCAUUCUCUUUAUGCUAAUCUGACUUUCUUCACAUCAGUAGGGUAGCAAAUAUUUUGCAAGAAGAUCUAAUAGUGUAUGGUAUUUUAUUAUUUUAAUUAUCAUGGCCAUUAAGACCACCAAGAGUAGUUGGCAAAUUAAAGUGCUUCUCUAAAAGUUUAAAGACACUUUUGGGAGACAGAGUGGCACUUAAGGAAAUGUAUGGAACACAUGUUAGAUAUUUUAUUUGUUCGUGUAAUAUAUCAUAAAUAUAAAAUAUUACAGUUGAAAUAAAAUGAACAAAAAAUGAAUUAAAAAGUAUUCAGGCUGAGAUGCGGAUAUCUCAUUCUCUUUAAGUAGAUUCAAGUCACUACGACAUAAUAUACACCGAUCCAACAAUAAUAUUCUCAACUUGUCCCCUCCAGAAUACAACAACCCACCAAAAUCGUACAACUUCUUAUAUGGUGAAUUUUAUGAAAAAAAUACUAUAUGGUUUGUUUGGAAGCAAAAAUAUUAAUAUAUAAUUAAAAUACCGAUCUAGGAUCGGCAUUUUUUAUGAACAUAUGAGUCACUACAACACCAAUCAUCACUGCAAACCAUUUCUAUUAUCACUAGCGAACAUAAAUAUUUCACAUUUAAUUUUAGUUUAUUAAAUUAUAUUUUUAAAUAUUUAAUUAUUCUUUAUUUAAAUUAUAUAUUUAUUAUGCUUAAGAUUGCUUAUUUAUUCUUCCUGGUCUUCGGGUCUAAAAUAAAUUAUGCAUAAACAAACAUUGUAAUCAUUAUGUAUUUUGAUCUAGAAACAAUGUCUUAAUCACUCAAAUGUACAUCUAAAUCGAGGUUUAUUAUCACUUAAAGAGAACAUAAGACAACACAAUAUCUUUUUUUUUUCCUUCCUCCGUUACCCAAAUUCUCAAAAAUCUAUCUAGGUACAUGUUGCUAUUGAAAAUAUUAAUGAUGAUUGAUGAACAUAGCCAAAUUUAGUAUUCCAAUUUACUUUAUAUAAUUAAAACAUAUGUCUACAUACUUAUCUAUAAAUAAACUACAUGAUUAAGGUUGUAGAUAUAAAUUGAUCACCCAUACACUUUCAAAUAAUGUACAGUCUGAAAGUGACCACUCCACUAUUUAUCAAACCAAUUAUAUCGAUAGAUUUACAUUCUUCUCAAUUAUAAAAGUAGAGUUCUCACUACAAAUAAAGCAAACAAAAAAAAAUGGAAGAAGAAGCAAAUUUAAGUAUCAAUAUGAGGAGAUUCCUCCUGAUUAUAAAUUGCUUAUUAUUAUCUGUUGGUGUUUGUGGUGGCCCUUUAAUGAUGCGUUUAUAUUUUGUUGAAGGUGGUUUAAGAAUAUGGUUUAAUAGUUGGUUACAAACCGGUGGAUGGCCACUCACAAUUAUACCAUUAGUCAUCUUAUAUUUCUAUCGACGAAAAACCAAGGGCUCUGAUACUAAGUUUUAUUAUAUAACGCCUCGUAUUUUCAUUGCAUCAUUCGUUAUUGGCAUUUUAACGGGUGUUGAUGCUUACCUCUAUUCAUGGGGCGGGUCGAAACUCCCCGUGUCAACGUCUUCCCUUCUCAUCGCAGCUCAACUUGCCUUCACGGCGAUAGGGGCUUACUUCAUAGUAAAGCUAAAAUUUACGUCAUAUUCGAUUAACGCUGUGGUUUUAUUGACACUUGGCGCGGUUUUAUUGGGUAUGCGAUCGAACGGUGAUCGACCAGAGGGUGUUACAGUAAAGACUAUGUUAUUGGUUUUAUUAUGACACUUUUGGCUGCAGCUUUGUAUGGACUUAUUUUGCCUUGUAUUGAGUUGAUGUAUUUGAAGGCAAAAAAAGCUAUUACUGCAACAUUGGUGUUGGAGAUUCAAAUGGUCAUGUGUUUUGCUUCUACUGCUUUUUGCACCAUUGGAAUGAUUGCUAACAAAGAUUUUCAGGUAUAUUUUUUAACGAGAUCGAUUCAGAAUUUAAAAUUUACAUGGUCUAAACUCUAGAGUUCAUAUUUGUAUAGUUGAAGGAAGUUGUGUUUUUAUAUAUGUACAUAUUCAGUCGAUUUCUUAUAAACAAAUGUGUAGGGUUAGGGUUUGGACUAGGGUAGAUAGGUGAAGAUCGCGGAUUAGGGUAAAAGAUUAAUGGAUAGUGGAGUGUUCUCUUACUUCUCAAAGGGUUUAAGCUUAAAUAGUGUUGGUUGUAUGAAGUAAUAGCUUUAUUUUUGUAGUGUCUUGGUUUGACUUUCUACCACCAUCAAUUUUAUGAUAUUUCAAUUAUUGCAAUAUUUUGUUAUUGUUAAUGUUUAUGUAGUAGUUGCUAUAUUUUCUACUCCGUCAUUUUUCCUUUUCAUACUUACUCUGAUUGCUCUACUCGAAUUGAGAGCUUUUCGAAAAUAGUCUAUUUCUUUACCAGAUAGUGAUAAGGUCUGCGUGCGCUGUGUCGAUAUAGCAUUUAAUUUUCAACUCACAUGGAUAUAUCUACCACACCUUAAUUGCAAUCUCUAUACUCUCUUCAUUUAAUUCAUAUAACAUGCCACUUAUUAUUUUUGUAGGCAAUAUCAAGGGAAGCAAAACAUUUUAACCUUGGAGAAGGUAGAUAUUACAUAGUUGUAAUAUGGAGUGCCAUAAUUUGGCAAUGUUUCUUUGUUGGUGCUGUUGGAGUUAUUUACCUCUCUUCUUCUUUAAUGUCUGGAGUUAUGAUUGCAGUUUUACUGCCAAUUACUGAAGUAUUAGGAGUAAUUUUCUUUGAUGAAAAAUUCUCAGCUGAAAAGGGACUUUCAUUUUUUCUUUCUCUUUGGGGUUUUGUUUCUUAUUUUUAUCGAGAAUUUAAACAAGCAAAGAAAGUUGAGAAGAAGAAAAUUCAAGAAAAUGAGAUGACAACAACAACACAAAUAGAACAUGUUUGACUUACUAUUUAUGGUUGUUACCUAUCCUAUUGUAUCGUAUGAUUAAAUUCGUCGUUAUAUAAUGAUGAAAAGUGUCAUUUUAUGUAAUGACUAGCUUAAUGUUGUCGUGAUGCUACCUUGUUUUCUGAUUACUUGGUAGUUGUAUAGUUGAAGGAAGUUGUGUUUUUAUAUAUGUACAUAUUCAGUCGAUUUCUUAUAAACAUGAUGUGUAGGGUUUGGACUAGGGUAGAUAUGUGGAGAUCGCGGAUUAGGAUAAAAGAUUAAUGGAUAGUGGAGUGUAAUUCUCCUGCUACUCAAAGGGUUUAAGCUUAAAUAGUGCUGUUUGUCGUAUGUAGUAAUAGCUUUAUUUUUGUAGGGUCUUGGUUUGACUUUCUACCACCAUCAAUUUUAUGAUAUUUCGAUUAUUGCAAUAUUUUGUUAUUGUUAAUGUUUAUGUAGUAAUUGCUAUAUUUUCUACUCCAUCAUUUUUCCUUUUCAUACUUAGAGCCCGUUUGGAUUGACUUAAAAAAAGUAACUUUUAAAAAGUAACUUUUUAAAGUGCUGGAACUUAUUUUAAAAAUAAGUAGUUAUGUGUUUGGAUAAAAGUGCUGCAGUUGAAAAAAAAAGUUGUUGAUGUGUUUGGCAAAUAAGUGCUGGUAAACACUUUUUUUAAUCAAAAUGUCUGAAAUACCCUUUAAGCUGUUAACAUGAUAAAAAGUUGAUUAAUUUAAGGUUUUUAUACUUAAAAAUAAAUUUAUAUUUUCCAUCCAUAAGUAAUAAUAUUUUCCUAUCAUUCACAUAUUUCUUUACCACCACAAAUUAUUUAUAAGAGGAAUAAUAAUAAUAAAUAAUAAUAAUAAUAAAAAUAAUAACAAUAAUAAUAAUAACAAUAACAAUAANNNNNNNNNNNNNNNNNNNNNNNNNNNNNNNNNNNNNNNNNNNNNNNNNNNNNNNNNNNNNNNNNNNNNNNNNNNNNNNNNNNNNNNNNNNNNNNNNNNNNNNNNNNNNNNNNNNNNNNNNNNNNNNNNNNNNNNNNNNNNNNNNNNNNNNNNNNNNNNNNNNNNNNNNNNNNNNNNNNNNNNNNNNNNNNNNNNNNNNNNNNNNNNNNNNNNNNNNNNNNNNNNNNNNNNNNNNNNNNNNNNNNNNNNNNNNNNNNNNNNNNNNNNNNNNNNNNNNNNNNNNNNNNNNNNNNNNNNNNNNNNNNNNNNNNNNNNNNNNNNNNNNNNNNNNNNNNNNNNNNNNNNNNNNNNNNNNNNNNNNNNNNNNNNNNNNNNNNNNNNNNNNNNNNNNNNNNNNNNNNNNNNNNNNNNNNNNNNNNNNNNNNNNNNNNNNNNNNNNNNNNNNNNNNNNNNNNNNNNNNNNNNNNNNNNNNNNNNNNNNNNNNNNNNAAAAAAAAAAAAAGCUCCCCUCACCUAGCUUUUAGCUUUUGGCUUAAAAUAAGUCAUUUCUGACUUAAAAUAAGUCACUUUGAUAAUUGCCAAACACUCUAAUAAGUCAAAAACUGGCUUAAAAGCCAGUUUGACCAGCUUAAAAGUCCAUCCAAACAGGCUCUUACUCUAAUUGCUCUACUCGAAUUGAGGGCUUUUUGAAAAUAGUCUAUUUCUUUACCUUCACAAGAUAGUGAUAAGGUCUGCGUGCGUUGUCUCAGUAUAGCAUUUAAUUUCCUCUAUUUUCAACUCACAUGGAUAUAUCUACCACACCUUAAUUGCAAUCUCUAUACUCUCUUCAUUUAAUUCAUAUAACAUGUAUCUUACAUUAUUUUUGUAGGCAAUAUCAAGGGAAGCAAAACAUUUUAACCUUGGAGAAGGUAGAUAUUACAUAGUUGUAAUAUGGAGUGCCAUAAUUUGGCAAUGUUUCUUUGUUGGUGCUGUUGGAGUUAUUACCUCUCUCUUCUUUAAUGUCUGGAGUUAUGAUUGUCAGUUUUACUGCCAAUUACUGAAGUAUUAGGAGUAAUUUUCGUUGAUGAAAAAUUCUCGGCUGAAAAGGGACUUUCACUUUUUCUUUCUCUUUGGGGUUUUGUUUCUUAUUUUUAUGGAGAGUUCAAACAAGCAAAGAAAGUUGAGAAAAAGAAAAUUCAAGAAAAUGAGAUGACAACAACAACACAAAUAGAACAUGUUUGACUUACUAUUUAUGGUUGUUACCUAUCCUAUUGUAUCGUAUAGUUAAAUUCGUCGUUAUAUAAUGAUGAAAAGUGUCAUUUUAUGUAAUGACUAGCUUAAUGUUGUCGUGAUGCUACCUUGUUUUCUGAUUACUUGGUAGUAUUUAAUUAUAAGUUAUAUUUGGCAUAUAUAA
RNAcentral lists this long non-coding RNA (27558 nucleotides) under Solanum tuberosum (potato). Its description in RNAcentral is "long non-coding RNA (STUB_LNC011854)". The record is from RNAcentral. Lineage: Eukaryota; Viridiplantae; Streptophyta; Magnoliopsida; Solanales; Solanaceae.